GUGAGGAAUAUUGGACAAUGGGCGCAAGCCUGAUCCAGCCAUGCCGCGUGCAGGAAGACGCAUCUAUGGUGUGUAAACUGCUUUUGUACGGGAAGAAACGCUCCCUCGUGAGGGAGCUUGACGGUACCGUAAGAAUAAGGAUCGGCUAACUCCGUGCCAGCAGCCGCGGUAAUACGGAGGAUCCAAGCGUUAUCCGGAAUCAUUGGGUUUAAAGGGUCCGUAGGCGGUUUAAUAAGUCAGUGGUGAAAGCCCAUCGCUCAACGAUGGAACGGCCAUUGAUACUGUUAGACUUGAAUUACAAGGAAGUAACUAGAAUAUGUAGUGUAGCGGUGAAAUGCUUAGAUAUUACAUGGAAUACCAAUUGCGAAGGCAGGUUACUACUUGUGGAUUGACGCUGAUGGACGAAAGCGUGGGGAGCGAACAGGAUUAGAUACCCUGGUAGUCC
This 445-nucleotide ribosomal RNA is filed under the name uncultured bacterium. RNAcentral's name for it is "partial 16S ribosomal RNA". It matches the Rfam family "Bacterial small subunit ribosomal RNA", at positions 354 to 796 of the family's 1533-position model. The record is from RNAcentral.